This 254-nucleotide unclassified non-coding RNA is filed under the name uncultured Acidimicrobiia bacterium. RNAcentral's name for it is "contains 16S-23S intergenic spacer region". It matches the Rfam family "Bacterial small subunit ribosomal RNA", at positions 524 to 776 of the family's 1533-position model. Lineage: Bacteria; Bacillati; Actinomycetota; Acidimicrobiia. The record is from RNAcentral.
CACGUAGGGACCAAGCGUUGUCCGGAUUCACUGGGCGUAAAGAGCUCGUAGGCGGCUCAGUAAGUCGGGUGUGAAACCUCCAGGCUCAACCUGGAGACGCCACCCGAUACUGCUGUGGCUAGAGUCCGGUAGGGGAGUGGGGAAUCUCUGGUGUAGCGGUGAAAUGCGCAGAUAUCAGAGGGAACACCAGCGGCGAAGGCGCCACUCUGGGCCGGUACUGACGCUGAGGAGCGAAAGCGUGGGGAGCAAACAGG